RNAcentral lists this ribosomal RNA (119 nucleotides) under Pteropus alecto (black flying fox). Lineage: Eukaryota; Metazoa; Chordata; Mammalia; Chiroptera; Pteropodidae. The record is from RNAcentral. RNAcentral also lists the same sequence under 1 other name.
GUCUACAGCCGUGCCACCCUGAACAAGCCCUAUCCCAUCUGAUCUUGGAAGCUAAGCGGGGUCAGGCCUAGUUAGUACUUGGAUGGGAGACCACCUAGGAAGACCAGACACUGUAGGCA